This 494-nucleotide ribosomal RNA is filed under the name uncultured bacterium. Its description in RNAcentral is "bacterial SSU rRNA". It matches the Rfam family "Bacterial small subunit ribosomal RNA", at positions 28 to 521 of the family's 1533-position model. The record is from RNAcentral.
GAUGAACGCUAGCGGGAGGCCUAAUACAUGCAAGUCGAACGGUAACAGGUAGCAAUACGCUGACGAGUGGCGCACGGGUGCGUAACGCGUACACAAUCUGCCUUAUACUGGGGCAUAGCCUUUGGAAACGAAGAAUAAUUCCCCAUAACAUAUAGAAGAGGCAUCUCUUUUAUAUUAAAGCUCAGGCGGUAUAAGAUGAGUGUGCGUCCGAUUAGGUAGUUGGUGAGGUAACGGCUCACCAAGCCAACGAUCGGUAGCUGGUCUGAGAGGAUGAUCAGCCACACGGGCACUGAGACACGGGCCCGACUCCUACGGGAGGCAGCAGUAGGGAAUAUUGGACAAUGGGCGCAAGCCUGAUCCAGCCAUCCCGCGUCGAAGGAUGAAGGUCCUCUGGAUUGUAAACUUCUUUUCUUCGGGAUAAAACUGGGGUUACUCCCCAGCUUGAAGGUACCGAAGGAAUAAGCACCGGCUAACUCCGUGCCAGCAGCCGCGGU